GUGAGUCAUCGAAUCUUUGAACGCACCUUGCGCUCCUUGGUAUUCCGAGGAGCAUGCCUGUUUGAGCGUCGUGAAUCUCUCAACCCACAAAUUGUUUGUCCAGUUUGUGCGGCUUGGACUUGGAGGCAUUGCUGGCGAUGGUCAGCUCCUCUCAAAUGUAUUAGCUGGGCUUAGCUCGGUGGAACGGUUAGUGUGAUAAUUAUCUGCGCUGCCUACUACAUCGGAUCCCGCUUCUAAUCGUCCGCAAGGACAAUUCACUUUGAAUCUGACCUCAAAUCAGGUAGGACUACCCGCUGAACUUAA
This 303-nucleotide ribosomal RNA is filed under the name uncultured fungus. Its description in RNAcentral is "eukaryotic LSU rRNA". The stretch from base 1 to 71 matches the Rfam family "5.8S ribosomal RNA", at positions 84 to 154 of the family's 154-position model. The record is from RNAcentral. Lineage: Eukaryota; Fungi.